Molecule: long non-coding RNA, 411 nt
Organism: Erpetoichthys calabaricus (reedfish)
Lineage: Eukaryota; Metazoa; Chordata; Cladistia; Polypteriformes; Polypteridae
Exons: 4
Source: RefSeq, a predicted model, not a curated record
GCGCUUGGACCUGUAUCCCAGAAUGCAUUGCAUCGGCUGGGGCUCUCCUGUCAAAAGAAUUAAUCAGUUUGUCUUCCCAAUGAGUCCUCGCUCUUUUAAGGCAAGUGGUUUUGGAGAGCCACAUAGUUUAAUUCUACAAUUGGGGGAAUGCAGGAAACAUCCUUGAAUGCAGGCAUUACAGAAUAUACAAACAGGCUCAAAACCUUCUUUUUAGAUUCCGGUCCCUGACGUACAUCCAGUUUGGGAUGAAUGCUGUGAGAAAAUCAUGUUCUCGGGUUAGUUACACUGAGGCAGGUAUCCUGACAACAUCCAGUUCAAGGCAAGAACCAAUCCUAAAUGGGGCAGCCUAACUCACACUGGCCCAUGUUAGAGUCAACAGUUAACCUAGUAUGUACAUCUUUGGGAUGUAGG